GUACCCUCAAGCUCUGCUUGGUGUUGGGUGUUUGUUCCACUUGGGACUCGCCUUGAAACAAUUGGCAGCCGGCACAUUGGCCUGGAGCGCAGCACAUUUUGCGCCUCUUGUCAUGGUUGUUGGCAUCCAUCAAGACACUUUUUAAGC
Molecule: unclassified non-coding RNA, 147 nt
Filed under: Plenodomus lingam (blackleg of rapeseed fungus)
Lineage: Eukaryota; Fungi; Ascomycota; Dothideomycetes; Pleosporales; Leptosphaeriaceae
Description: Leptosphaeria maculans partial internal transcribed spacer 2
Source: RNAcentral